GCCCUGAAUACGCCUCCUCCUCCUCCGCCCGCCGCGGCACACGCUACUAACACGCCACCUAGCAGUCUGAACACACACGGCCUCAACGUUCCCGGGCUGCAUGCACAGGCGGAGGGAGUCAAGCUCCUAGCCACGGUGAUGUCCCAGUCAAUAAAGGCAAAGGAACAUCUGUUGGAGCAGUCCAGGUCUGUGGAGCAGGCGGUAGCAGAAGCUGCAGCUAAGAGUCCAUCUGGUUGUCCUCCUCAUGAGCAGCGCUCCUUUGAUCGUAAG
Long non-coding RNA from Coregonus clupeaformis (lake whitefish), 270 nucleotides. RefSeq lists it as uncharacterized. Lineage: Eukaryota; Metazoa; Chordata; Actinopteri; Salmoniformes; Salmonidae. The transcript has 3 exons. The record is from RefSeq and is a predicted model, not a curated record.